RNAcentral lists this ribosomal RNA (169 nucleotides) under uncultured bacterium. Its description in RNAcentral is "partial 16S ribosomal RNA". It matches the Rfam family "Bacterial small subunit ribosomal RNA", at positions 338 to 524 of the family's 1533-position model. The record is from RNAcentral.
CCUACGGGAGGCAGCAGUAAGGAAUCUUCCACAAUGGGGGAAACCCUGAUGGAGCAACGCCGCGUGAAGGAUGAAGGCCCUCGGGUCGUAAACUUCUUUUAUAAGUGAAGAAUAUGACGGUAACUUAUGAAUAAGCACCGGCUAACUACGUGCCAGCAGCCGCGGUAAU